CCUACGGGAGGCAGCAGUGAGGAAUAUUGGUCAAUGGGCGCGAGCCUGAACCAGCCAAGUAGCGUGAAGGAUGACUGCCCUACGGGUUGUAAACUUCUUUUAUAAAGGAAUCAAGUGAGGCACGUGUACCUUUUUGUCUGUACUUUAUGAAUAAGGAUCGGCUAACUCCGUGCCAGCAGCCGCGGUAAUACGGAGGAUCCGAGCGUUAUCCGGAUUUAUUGGGUUUAAAGGGGGCGGAGAUGGGUUGUUAAGUCAGUUGUGAAAGUUUGGGGCUCAACCGUAAAAUUGCAAUUGAUACUGGCAGCCUUGAGUACAGUUGAGGUAGGCGGAAUGCGUGGUGUAGCGGUGAAAUGCUUAGAUAUCACGAAGAACUCCGAUAGCGAAGGCAGCCUACUAAACUGCCACUGACAUUGAUGCUCGAAAGUGUGGGUAUCAAACAGGAUUAGAUACCCGGGUAGUC
Molecule: ribosomal RNA, 460 nt
Filed under: uncultured bacterium
Lineage: Bacteria
Description: partial 16S ribosomal RNA
Rfam family: Bacterial small subunit ribosomal RNA
Source: RNAcentral